GGACGAACGCUGGCGGCGUGCCUACUCCAUGCAAGUUGAGCGAUGAAGAUUGGUGCUUGCCCCAAUUUGAAGAGCAGCGAACGGGUGAGUAACGCGUGGGGAAUCUGCCUUUGAGCGGGGGACAACAUUUGGAAACGAAUGCUAAUACCGCAUAACAACUUUAAACAUAAGUUUUAAGUUUGAAAGAUGCAAUUGCAUCACUCAAAGAUGAUCCCGCGUUGUAUUAGCUAGUUGGUGAGGUAAAGGCUCACCAAGGCGAUGAUACAUAGCCGACCUGAGAGGGUGAUCGGCCACAUUGGGACUGAGACACGGCCCAAACUCCUACGGGAGGCAGCAGUAGGGAAUCUUCGGCAAUGGACGAAAGUCUGACCGAGCAACGCCGCGUGAGUGAAGAAGGUUUUCGGAUCGUAAAACUCUGUUGGUAGAGAAGAACGUUGGUGAGAGUGGAAAGCUCAUCAAGUGACGGUAACUACCCAGAAAGGGACGGCUAACUACGUG
Molecule: ribosomal RNA, 498 nt
Filed under: uncultured bacterium
Lineage: Bacteria
Description: partial 16S ribosomal RNA
Rfam family: Bacterial small subunit ribosomal RNA
Source: RNAcentral